CCCAGAGCUGUGACCCUGCUCUCGUCCAAACAUUCGAGUCGCCCAGCAUCUUAGCAAACAUAAGAUGUUAUGGUUACCCAAAAGUGCAGUUAAUAAAGCAGUUAUUGGGUAGUCAUAUCACGUUCCACAAUUCAAGGAAUUCAAUUGAAGACGGUUGAACGACAAAAGUAAUGGCGGCAGUUAGAGAAGGCAGUUUCACGACAAGUUGGCCACUACGAGGAAAGUAGGCAGUUAUAGAGCGAUCAAGCAGUUUUUAAGCGGUUGAUCACGAAGAGAUCAUCCAGGGAGUAUAAAAGGAAGAAAAGACAUAGAGCAAGGGACCCCGAAUCAAA
This 332-nucleotide long non-coding RNA is filed under the name Olea europaea subsp. europaea. The record is from RNAcentral. Lineage: Eukaryota; Viridiplantae; Streptophyta; Magnoliopsida; Lamiales; Oleaceae.